This 496-nucleotide ribosomal RNA is filed under the name uncultured bacterium. RNAcentral describes it as "partial 16S ribosomal RNA". It matches the Rfam family "Bacterial small subunit ribosomal RNA", at positions 28 to 507 of the family's 1533-position model. The record is from RNAcentral.
GAUGAACGCUGGCGGCGUGCCUAAAACAGCAAAUUGAGCGAACAGACGGGGAGCUUUCUCCUCUGACCUUAGGGGCGGACGGGGGAGUAACAAGUUGAUAAACUACCUAUAAGACUGGGGUAAAUUUGGGAAACCCGGGCUAAAACCCGAUAAAAUAUUGAAACGCCAGGUUCAAUAAUGAAAGACGGUUUUGCCGUCACUUAUAGAUGGAUCCGCGCCGCAUUAGCUAGUUGGUAAGGUAACGGCUUACCAAGGCAACGAUGCGUAGCCGACCUGAGAGGGUGAUCGGCCACACUGGAACUGAGACACGGUCCAGACUCCUACGGGAGGCAGCAGUAGGGAAUCUUCCGCAAUGGGCGAAAGCCUGACGGAGCAACGCCGCGUGAGUGAUGAAGGUCUUCGGAUCGUAAAACUCUGUUAUUAGGGAAGAACAAAUGUGUAAGUAACUAUGCACGUCUUGACGGUACCUAAUCAGAAAGCCACGGCUAACUACGUG